CCACGUUUGACAUGUCCCGUAUGACCUGGAGAGAUUCGGGUCUUCAGUUCGGCUGGCGGGAACACAGGUGCUGCAUGGCUGUCGUCAGCUCGUGUCGUGAGAUGUUGGGUUAAGUCCCGCAACGAGCGCAACCCUCGCUACUAGUUGCUACCAGGUUAAGCUGAGCACUCUAGUGGAACUGCCGGUGGCAAGCCGGAGGAAGGUGGGGAUGACGUCAAGUCCUCAUGGCCCUUACGCGUGGGGCUACACACGUGCUACAAUGGUGGUGACAGAGGGAUAAUCCCUAAAAGCCAUCUCAGUUCGGAUUGUCCUCUGCAACUCGAGGGCAUGAAGUUGGAAUCGCUAGUAAUCGCGGAUCAGCAUGCCGCGGUGAAUACGUUCCC
Molecule: ribosomal RNA, 383 nt
Filed under: uncultured bacterium
Lineage: Bacteria
Description: bacterial SSU rRNA
Rfam family: Bacterial small subunit ribosomal RNA
Source: RNAcentral